Molecule: long non-coding RNA, 1250 nt
Organism: Eriocheir sinensis (Chinese mitten crab)
Lineage: Eukaryota; Metazoa; Arthropoda; Malacostraca; Decapoda; Varunidae
Exons: 3
Source: RefSeq, a predicted model, not a curated record
GAGCCAGAGAGACGAGGAAACUGUUAAUUCAGUGAGGGAAAGUAUAUCCAGUUUCGCCUGUUAUAUGUCUCCGCUUCUCCUCACGGCUCGCGCAGGACAGAGAGAGAGAGCACGGGGUUAUUUCUACACUCAUUAAGCACCAGAGCAAUCAUAUACAACAAGGGAGAGGACGAGAGAGGCGAGGAAACAGUUGAUUCAGUGAGGGAAAGUAUGUCCAGGUUCACCGCGGCCCGCCCUGCCUGUUAUAAUAUGUCCUCGCUUCUCACGGCUCACGCAGGACAGAGAGAGUGAACACGGGGUUAUUUCUACACUCAUUAAGCACCAGAUCAAUCAUAUACAACAAGUGGGAGAGCCAGAGAGACGAGGAAACAGAUAAUUCAGUGAGGGAAAAUAUAUCCAGGUUCACCGCGGCCCGCCCUGCCUGUUAUAAUAUGUCCUCGCUUCUCACGGCUAACUCAGGACAGAGAGAGAGAGCACGGGGAUGUUUUUAUACGCAUUAAGCACCAGAUCAAUCAUAUACAACAAGUGGGAGAGCCAGAGAGACGAGGAAACUGUUAAUUCAAUGAGGGAAAGUAUAUCCAGGUUCACCUCCCUGCCUGUUAUAUGUCUUCGCUUCUCACGGCUAACCCAGGACAGAGAGAGUGAGCACGGGGUUGUUUUUAUACGCAUUAAGCACCAGAUCAAUCAUAUACAACAAGUGGGAGAGCCAGAGAGACGAGGAAACUGUUAAUUCAGUGAGGGAAAGUAUAUCCAGGUUCACCUCCCUGCCUGUUAUAUGUCUUCGCUUCUCACGGCUCACCCAGGACAGAGAGAGAGAACACGGGGAUGUUUCUACACUCAUUAAGCACCAGAUCAAUCAUAUACAACAAGUGGGAGAGCCAGAGAGACGAGGAAACAGAUAAUUCAGUGAGGGAAAGUAUAUCCAGUUUCGCCUGUUAUAUGUCUCCGCUUCUCCUCACGGCUCACGCAGGGAAGAGAGAGAGAGCACGGGGAUGUUUCUACACUCAAUAAGCACCAGAACAAUCAUAUACAACAAGUGGGAGAGCCAGAGAGACGAGGAAACAGUUAAUUCAGUGAGGGAAAGUAUAUCCAGGUUCACCGCGGCCCGCCCUGCCUGUUAUAAUAUGUCCUCGCUUCUCACGGCUAACCCAGGACAGAGAGAGAGCACGGGGUUGUUUCUACACUCAUUAAGCACCAGAUCAAUCAUAUACAACAAGUGGGAGAGCCAGAGAGACGAGGAAACAGAUAAU